GCUGGGUGCGGUGGUGCUUGCCUGUAAUCCCAGUAGCUUGGGAGGCUGAGGCAGGAAGAUUGCAAGUUCAAAGUCAGCAUCAGCAACUUAGUGAGGCCCUAAGCAACUUGGUGAGACCUUGUCUCUA
This 127-nucleotide small RNA is filed under the name Marmota monax (woodchuck). The record is from RNAcentral. Lineage: Eukaryota; Metazoa; Chordata; Mammalia; Rodentia; Sciuridae.